RNAcentral lists this transfer RNA (75 nucleotides) under Planctomycetota bacterium. Its description in RNAcentral is "Planctomycetes bacterium (groundwater metagenome) tRNA-Gln". It matches the Rfam family "tRNA". Rfam says of the family: Transfer RNA (tRNA) molecules are approximately 80 nucleotides in length. Their secondary structure includes four short double-helical elements and three loops (D, anti-codon, and T loops). Lineage: Bacteria; Pseudomonadati; Planctomycetota. The record is from RNAcentral.
UACCCCGUGGUGUAAUCGGUAACACUACAGGUUUUGGUCCUGUCAUUUCUGGUUCGAGUCCAGACGGGGUAACCA